UGUUAGGGCACGACACCGGAGAGGGAGCCUGAGAAACGGCUACCACAUCCAAGGAAGGCAGCAGGCGCGCAAAUUACCCAAUCCCGACACGGGGAGGUAGUGACAAUAAAUAACAAUACAGGGUUCUUUUGGAUCUUGUAAUUGGAAUGAGUACAAUUUAAAUCUCUUAACGAGGAACAAUUGGAGGGCAAGUCUGGUGCCAGCAGCCGCGGUAAUUCCAGCUCCAAUAGCGUAUAUUAAAGUUGUUGCAGUUAAAAAGCUCGUAGUUGAAUUUCGGGAUCAAUAUUUCGGUCAUGCCGUUGGUAUGCACUGUUAUCAUUGAUUUCUCACCUUCUAAAGAACCGUAAUGCCAUUAAUUUGGUGUUACGGGGAAUUAGGACUGUUACCUUGAAAAAAUUAGAGUGUUUAAAGCAGGCUCACGCUUGAAUACAUUAGCAUGGAAUAAUGAAAUAGGACAUCCGAUUCUAUUUUGUUGGUUUCUAGGAUCGAUGUAAUGAUUAAUAGGGAUAGUUGGGGGCAUUAGUAUUCAAUUGUCAGAGGUGAAAUUCUUGGAUUUAUUGAAGACUAACUACUGCGAAAGCAUUUGCCAAGGAUGUUUUCAUUAAUCAAGAACGAAAGUUAGGGGAUCGAAGACGAUCAGAUACCGUCGUAGUCUUAACCAUAAACUAUGCCGACUAGGGAUCGGAUGAUGUUA
This 694-nucleotide ribosomal RNA is filed under the name uncultured Funneliformis. RNAcentral describes it as "SSU rRNA". It matches the Rfam family "Eukaryotic small subunit ribosomal RNA", at positions 368 to 1065 of the family's 1831-position model. Lineage: Eukaryota; Fungi; Glomeromycota; Glomeromycetes; Glomerales; Glomeraceae. The record is from RNAcentral.